UACAGGCAUGAGCCAUAGCACUUGGCCCUAUGAACUUUGUACAAUAUCAGAGUUCUGGAAGACGGAAAGUCCAAGAUCAAGAUCCUGACAUACUCGCUGUCUGAUGAGCACCUGCCUCCUGAUUCAUAGGCUGCCAUCUUUUUGCUGUGUCCUCACGUGACAGAAAAGCCUUCUCCAUCUCCUACACACUCUGAAAUAAUCUGUCAGAAGAUCCUCAUCCUGCCGUGCUGGCUUACUCUGGAUCAAGAGACAAAGACUCCAGCUCUAUCUCUGAUGGACCGAGUAGGAAGAAUCAGCAUGAGUCAACCCACCAGGUUUCCCAGAGCUUAAUCCAGAAGGGACCCAAACACUAGGGCUGCUGGAGCUACCUUCACCAAUACAGGGGUAAUCAUAGUACCUUUUACUGGGAGGAUUAAGUGAGAUAAUGCUUACUCAACUGCCAGGUACACGGGGAAAUUUGAACACAGAGACAUGCAUAGAGGGAAGGUGAUGUGAAGAUGAAGGCAGAGAUCCAGGUGAUGCUUCUAUGCACCAAGAACACUACAGAUUACCAGCAAACCAUCAGAAGCUAGGGGACAGGCAUGGAGCAGAUUCUCUCCCACAGCUCUUGGAAGGAACUUAUCCUACCAACGCCUUGAUCAUGG
Homo sapiens (human) is the source of this 644-nucleotide long non-coding RNA. Ensembl annotates it as prostate cancer associated 3. Its record names the gene PCA3. NCBI's taxonomy places the organism in Eukaryota, Metazoa, Chordata, Mammalia, Primates, Hominidae. The record is from Ensembl.